RNAcentral lists this non-coding RNA (21 nucleotides) under Arabidopsis thaliana (thale cress). The record is from RNAcentral. Lineage: Eukaryota; Viridiplantae; Streptophyta; Magnoliopsida; Brassicales; Brassicaceae.
UGAAUAACCUACCACAUCUCC